This 2902-nucleotide ribosomal RNA is filed under the name Escherichia coli O104:H4 str. 11-4632 C2. RNAcentral describes it as "bacterial LSU rRNA". It matches the Rfam family "Bacterial large subunit ribosomal RNA". The record is from RNAcentral. Lineage: Bacteria; Pseudomonadati; Pseudomonadota; Gammaproteobacteria; Enterobacterales; Enterobacteriaceae.
UUAAGCGACUAAGCGUACACGGUGGAUGCCCUGGCAGUCAGAGGCGAUGAAGGACGUGCUAAUCUGCGAUAAGCGUCGGUAAGGUGAUAUGAACCGUUAUAACCGGCGAUUUCCGAAUGGGGAAACCCAGUGUGAUUCGACACACUAUCAUUAACUGAAUCCAUAGGUUAAUGAGGCGAACCGGGGGAACUGAAACAUCUAAGUACCCCGAGGAAAAGAAAUCAACCGAGAUUCCCCCAGUAGCGGCGAGCGAACGGGGAGCAGCCCAGAGCCUGAAUCAGUAUGUGUGUUAGUGGAAGCGUCUGGAAAGGCGCGCGAUACAGGGUGACAGCCCCGUACACAAAAAUGCACAUGCUGUGAGCUCGAUGAGUAGGGCGGGACACGUGGUAUCCUGUCUGAAUAUGGGGGGACCAUCCUCCAAGGCUAAAUACUCCUGACUGACCGAUAGUGAACCAGUACCGUGAGGGAAAGGCGAAAAGAACCCCGGCGAGGGGAGUGAAAAAGAACCUGAAACCGUGUACGUACAAGCAGUGGGAGCACGCUUAGGCGUGUGACUGCGUACCUUUUGUAUAAUGGGUCAGCGACUUAUAUUCUGUAGCAAGGUUAACCGAAUAGGGGAGCCGAAGGGAAACCGAGUCUUAACUGGGCGUUAAGUUGCAGGGUAUAGACCCGAAACCCGGUGAUCUAGCCAUGGGCAGGUUGAAGGUUGGGUAACACUAACUGGAGGACCGAACCGACUAAUGUUGAAAAAUUAGCGGAUGACUUGUGGCUGGGGGUGAAAGGCCAAUCAAACCGGGAGAUAGCUGGUUCUCCCCGAAAGCUAUUUAGGUAGCGCCUCGUGAAUUCAUCUCCGGGGGUAGAGCACUGUUUCGGCAAGGGGGUCAUCCCGACUUACCAACCCGAUGCAAACUGCGAAUACCGGAGAAUGUUAUCACGGGAGACACACGGCGGGUGCUAACGUCCGUCGUGAAGAGGGAAACAACCCAGACCGCCAGCUAAGGUCCCAAAGUCAUGGUUAAGUGGGAAACGAUGUGGGAAGGCCCAGACAGCCAGGAUGUUGGCUUAGAAGCAGCCAUCAUUUAAAGAAAGCGUAAUAGCUCACUGGUCGAGUCGGCCUGCGCGGAAGAUGUAACGGGGCUAAACCAUGCACCGAAGCUGCGGCAGCGACGCUUAUGCGUUGUUGGGUAGGGGAGCGUUCUGUAAGCCUGCGAAGGUGUGCUGUGAGGCAUGCUGGAGGUAUCAGAAGUGCGAAUGCUGACAUAAGUAACGAUAAAGCGGGUGAAAAGCCCGCUCGCCGGAAGACCAAGGGUUCCUGUCCAACGUUAAUCGGGGCAGGGUGAGUCGACCCCUAAGGCGAGGCCGAAAGGCGUAGUCGAUGGGAAACAGGUUAAUAUUCCUGUACUUGGUGUUACUGCGAAGGGGGGACGGAGAAGGCUAUGUUGGCCGGGCGACGGUUGUCCCGGUUUAAGCGUGUAGGCUGGUUUUCCAGGCAAAUCCGGAAAAUCAAGGCUGAGGCGUGAUGACGAGGCACUACGGUGCUGAAGCAACAAAUGCCCUGCUUCCAGGAAAAGCCUCUAAGCAUCAGGUAACAUCAAAUCGUACCCCAAACCGACACAGGUGGUCAGGUAGAGAAUACCAAGGCGCUUGAGAGAACUCGGGUGAAGGAACUAGGCAAAAUGGUGCCGUAACUUCGGGAGAAGGCACGCUGAUAUGUAGGUGAAGUCCCUCGCGGAUGGAGCUGAAAUCAGUCGAAGAUACCAGCUGGCUGCAACUGUUUAUUAAAAACACAGCACUGUGCAAACACGAAAGUGGACGUAUACGGUGUGACGCCUGCCCGGUGCCGGAAGGUUAAUUGAUGGGGUUAGCGCAAGCGAAGCUCUUGAUCGAAGCCCCGGUAAACGGCGGCCGUAACUAUAACGGUCCUAAGGUAGCGAAAUUCCUUGUCGGGUAAGUUCCGACCUGCACGAAUGGCGUAAUGAUGGCCAGGCUGUCUCCACCCGAGACUCAGUGAAAUUGAACUCGCUGUGAAGAUGCAGUGUACCCGCGGCAAGACGGAAAGACCCCGUGAACCUUUACUAUAGCUUGACACUGAACAUUGAGCCUUGAUGUGUAGGAUAGGUGGGAGGCUUUGAAGUGUGGACGCCAGUCUGCAUGGAGCCGACCUUGAAAUACCACCCUUUAAUGUUUGAUGUUCUAACGUGGACCCGUAAUCCGGGUUGCGGACAGUGUCUGGUGGGUAGUUUGACUGGGGCGGUCUCCUCCUAAAGAGUAACGGAGGAGCACGAAGGUUGGCUAAUCCUGGUCGGACAUCAGGAGGUUAGUGCAAUGGCAUAAGCCAGCUUGACUGCGAGCGUGACGGCGCGAGCAGGUGCGAAAGCAGGUCAUAGUGAUCCGGUGGUUCUGAAUGGAAGGGCCAUCGCUCAACGGAUAAAAGGUACUCCGGGGAUAACAGGCUGAUACCGCCCAAGAGUUCAUAUCGACGGCGGUGUUUGGCACCUCGAUGUCGGCUCAUCACAUCCUGGGGCUGAAGUAGGUCCCAAGGGUAUGGCUGUUCGCCAUUUAAAGUGGUACGCGAGCUGGGUUUAGAACGUCGUGAGACAGUUCGGUCCCUAUCUGCCGUGGGCGCUGGAGAACUGAGGGGGGCUGCUCCUAGUACGAGAGGACCGGAGUGGACGCAUCACUGGUGUUCGGGUUGUCAUGCCAAUGGCACUGCCCGGUAGCUAAAUGCGGAAGAGAUAAGUGCUGAAAGCAUCUAAGCACGAAACUUGCCCCGAGAUGAGUUCUCCCUGACUCCUUGAGAGUCCUGAAGGAACGUUGAAGACGACGACGUUGAUAGGCCGGGUGUGUAAGCGCAGCGAUGCGUUGAGCUAACCGGUACUAAUGAACCGUGAGGCUUAACCUU